AAAGUUCCGUAACAAGGUCUCCGUUGGUGAACCAGCGGAGGGAUCAUUACAGAGUUGCAAAACUCCCAAACCAUUGUGAACGUUACCCAUCCCGUUGCUUCGGCGGGCGGCCCGGGCCCCGUGCCCGGCGCCCCCCGGCCCCUCGCGGGCGCCCGCCGGAGGUAAACCAAACUCUUGAAUUGUAUGGCCUCUCUGAGUCUUCUGUACUGAAUAAGUCAAAACUUUCAACAACGGAUCUCUUGGUUCUGGCAUCGAUGAAGAACGCAGCGAAAUGCGAUAAGUAAUGUGAAUUGCAGAAUUCAGUGAAUCAUCGAAUCUUUGAACGCACAUUGCGCCCGCCAGUAUUCUGGCGGGCAUGCCUGUUCGAGCGUCAUUUCAACCAUCAAGCCCCCGGCUUGUGUUGGGGACCUGCGGCUGCCGCAGGCCCUGAAAACCAGUGGCGGGCUCGCUAGUCACUCCGAGCGUAGUAGUUACAUCUCGCUCAGGGCGUGCUGCGGGUUCCGGCCGUUAAAAAGCCUUAUUUACCCCAAGGUUGACCUCGGAUCAGGUAGGAAGACCCGCUGAACUUAAGCAUAUCAAUAA
RNAcentral lists this ribosomal RNA (582 nucleotides) under Chaetomium sp. RNAcentral describes it as "eukaryotic LSU rRNA". The stretch from base 220 to 373 matches the Rfam family "5.8S ribosomal RNA". The record is from RNAcentral. Lineage: Eukaryota; Fungi; Ascomycota; Sordariomycetes; Sordariales; Chaetomiaceae.